UUUUUUUUUUUGUACUUGCAACUAGUCAUUGUCAUUGAUUAUUUGAAGAAUAACAAAGGAAAAAGUAGCCCUCCCUGUUAGGAAAACUGUCAAUCUCUUAACCUACCAAAUUUGACUUGUCAAAGAGAAAGGAUAGACAGUCGGCACUCAGAACACAAGAAAGAUAAGGAUCAAUAUCAAUGGAUAUACAAAGAAAAAAAAUUCCAAAACAGCACACUCUCCAAUCUAAACCACAAGGAGUUGAAAUGAAUUGAAGAGUUUAACUAACAAAGAAAGACCUACCAUCUGCCUAUCAUAACAUUCUCAAGAUAAGAAAAUUUCCAAGAUACAAAGUGUACAUCACAAGGAGACAAAUUUGAAGAGCAAAGCUUUUAUAAAUUAGAAAAAGAGGUAUCUCCAUUCCAAACAUAUUCCCAAACGCAAAUGCGAGACUCAUCUCUAACUUUAUAUCUGAUCAAUGGGGAAAAAGAAUAACUCAUUCAUGAAAUUAACUUCCAAGGGUUUUAUGAAUAUUUAUUCCUAGUAUGGCAUCCUACUAGAAGAGGAAAGAGAGAGAGAGAGAGAG
Molecule: unclassified non-coding RNA, 565 nt
Filed under: Hevea brasiliensis (rubber tree)
Lineage: Eukaryota; Viridiplantae; Streptophyta; Magnoliopsida; Malpighiales; Euphorbiaceae
Source: RNAcentral